This 401-nucleotide ribosomal RNA is filed under the name uncultured bacterium. RNAcentral's name for it is "bacterial SSU rRNA". It matches the Rfam family "Bacterial small subunit ribosomal RNA", at positions 355 to 773 of the family's 1533-position model. The record is from RNAcentral.
UGGGGAAUAUUGGACAAUGGGCGCAAGCCUGAUCCAGCCAUGCCGCGUGAGUGAUGAAGGCCUUAGGGUUGUAAAGCUCUUUCAGUAGGGAAGAUAAUGACGGUACCUACAGAAGAAGCCCCGGCUAACUUCGUGCCAGCAGCCGCGGUAAUACGAAGGGGGCUAGCGUUGCUCGGAAUUACUGGGCGUAAAGCGCACGUAGGCGGCUCUUUAAGUCGGGGGUGAAAUCCUGGAGCUCAACUCCAGAACUGCCUUCGAUACUGGAGAGCUCGAGUCCGGGAGAGGUGAGUGGAACUGCGAGUGUAGAGGUGAAAUUCGUAGAUAUUCGCAAGAACACCAGUGGCGAAGGCGGCUCACUGGCCCGGUACUGACGCUGAGGUGCGAAAGCGUGGGGAGCAAAC